RNAcentral lists this ribosomal RNA (500 nucleotides) under Escherichia coli. RNAcentral's name for it is "partial 23S ribosomal RNA". It matches the Rfam family "Bacterial large subunit ribosomal RNA", at positions 711 to 1209 of the family's 2925-position model. Lineage: Bacteria; Pseudomonadati; Pseudomonadota; Gammaproteobacteria; Enterobacterales; Enterobacteriaceae. RNAcentral also lists the same sequence under 1 other name. The record is from RNAcentral.
AGACCCGAAACCCGGUGAUCUAGCCAUGGGCAGGUUGAAGGUUGGGUAACACUAACUGGAGGACCGAACCGACUAAUGUUGAAAAAUUAGCGGAUGACUUGUGGCUGGGGGUGAAAGGCCAAUCAAACCGGGAGAUAGCUGGUUCUCCCCGAAAGCUAUUUAGGUAGCGCCUCGUGAAUUCAUCUCCGGGGGUAGAGCACUGUUUCGGCAAGGGGGUCAUCCCGACUUACCAACCCGAUGCAAACUGCGAAUACCGGAGAAUGUUAUCACGGGAGACACACGGCGGGUGCUAACGUCCGUCGUGAAGAGGGAAACAACCCAGACCGCCAGCUAAGGUCCCAAAGUCAUGGUUAAGUGGGAAACGAUGUGGGAAGGCCCAGACAGCCAGGAUGUUGGCUUAGAAGCAGCCAUCAUUUAAAGAAAGCGUAAUAGCUCACUGGUCGAGUCGGCCUGCGCGGAAGAUGUAACGGGGCUAAACCAUGCACCGAAGCUGCGGCAGC